CCCUCAAAAAUGCUACAGAAGUGAGGGAAAGCAAAGUCUAAGGAAUGAAUACCAUCUAUCGUACAUUCUUUCUACCGUCGAGGCACAACUUUGCAACCAUCAGCUCAAGACUAGUUUCGAGCAUCUCCUGUAGGGUCCGACAACACAUGCUCCUCUCUGAAUAUAAUUCCUGUGGCAGCGAUCAAGUCUGGAUCUUCCAUCUGUGGGGGAAGGGAAAAGGAAGGGGUGAGAACCUAAAUGGUUCCCAGUAAGGUGACAUCGUGAAAGCGCAUCUCUCUUGUGAAACCUAGAGUUUUGGCUCUAUCGUAAUAACUCGCUUACUAAGUCUCUCGGCUACUUCCGUAUUGUGAGCUCUGACAUAACUCUUUCUUGGCAUCUUUCUUUGGGAUGAAUACCAUUCUCACAAUAUUCUCUAUGACUAUUAUUCCUAACUCUAUUAUCUUAUUCUAAGCUUUGAGAAAGUUACGUCAUAAUCUUAAAAUACAGACAAGAAUCAUAAAAUAGAGAAUUAACAAGAAGCAGAUGGCACAUCGCAGAAAGAAUGAACAGUAAACAAUCACAAUCAAAUGUGCAAACAAUUUAUGAUGCAUGCUUGUUCCUAGUGCAGGCCAUGAGCUCAUGCGUCGAUUGUCUACCCGCAACCCGAUGUUACUCGGGGUGAACCCCGAAUAUGGUUCCUUUACUGUGUCAGUUAGACACCUUGACAUCAUGAUUAUCCGUGUCAGUUAGGCCUCAUCAUAAUAACACUUUAAUGUGUAUCACAGUAAAAAACAGUGCUAUUAGUUAGACGAACAUUUCCGCAUUAGCAAUCUCAAGCUAUCAGUUAGGCGGACACUUUCGCAUUAGCAAUUUGGCACAAAGGCCCAUUCAACAUACAAUAUGCUAUCAGUUAGGUAGACAUUCCCGCAUUAGCAAUCUUAGGCUAUCAGUCAGGCGGGCACUUCUGCAUUAGCAGUUUGGCACAAAGGCCCAGUCAAACAAAUAACAUUCAACUAUCCUUUUUAUUCAUUGUUUCUUAUUUCCUGUCUUUUCAUCAUGCCUCCGCAUCACCUUAUAAAUAUAUAUACCUCCGCAUCACCACAUAACUAAGCAUACCUCCACAUCACUAUAUUACUAAGCAUACCUCCGCAUCACCCUUUUAACUUUAACCUUCCUAGAGGUAACUUGUAUUCUUAUUCAUUUCUUAGCUUGUUUAGCCUAAUACCCUUUUGGCGACCAGUUUUUUAUCUAACGAUUAAUACCACAAAUGAACUCAAAUUCACGCAAACUUUAUGUCCACAUGUUAGUAUUGAACUCAAGUUUCUAGAGAACUAAGAAUCUUAUUUUUUUGGGCAGUCUAUCUCUAGCUAUUGAGGAAAAACCGAGAUUGUUAUUCUAGGUUUGUUGGAACAGCAUUUUGCUGUCUUGUGUGAUUUUUAUGUUGUGAAAACUUACGCACGGACUAUAUCUCUUAUCAAAGUAAUGCUAGAGAUCCUAACCUUUACUUUGAAUUAAAUUUUACUGCAUUUGGAUUAGAAUUAAAUUUUAUACAAGAUUUUAAAAUUCUGCUACUGCACUUGUAAAGAUUCAGAAAAACAGCAAGCAGUAGUGUCUUUAUAAAAUCCAUAAUAAUUUCAAUUCUAAUCAAUUGCUUCUAAAUUUUGGGUAGAUUAUACUCAACUUUCCUAAGUUUCAGAAUCAACAAGUUUCAGGUUCAUAUCACUUCAUUUGAUUAAUUAAUUGUCAAUUGGAAGUAGUGCUCUGUUUUCAUAAAUCAGUUCAGAAUUUCCAGCAAGCAAUCCAGCUUCCAAGUGACUUAAUUAAGUCUACAAAAUAGGUAUAAAUAUGAAAUUUGUGCUCAAUUAAAGUGGACGUACAGAUCUUCAAAACUCCUUUAGUAGCAACUUAAAAUGUUACGUAAAACAAAAGUUCCAGUGGUUUGAAAUUGACAUUGCAGAACCAGAAAAUCAGAAAAAUUCUGCAGCAACUACUGUCUUCAAAAAUUCAUAUCUUUUAAACCACUUGGCUAAAUACCUUGAAAUUUUUAUGGCACAUUUAAGACACAGCUAAGUUUUACAAAAAAAUAAUUUCAUCCAAAAAGGUGGUCCGGACUACUCCCAAAAAUUUGUUCAUUCUGCUGUAAAUCAUGCAGAAAUUGCAGAAAUUCUGCACAAUGCAAUUCCAACAACCUCACAUGCCAAAUUCUAUAUUCAAGCCUAAUAUUCCUCCAAAACCACAAUUCCAACUUUUCUUUUUUGACUAAUCAAAAUUACUAAAGUGAUUAGCACAGCCCCAGAGUUCAGAUUCACCAUUUUUCCCUUUUCACAAGUGCACAUAUAUUUAAUUAAGAGAAAGUAUAGGGAGCCAAUGACCUAAGCGUACAAUGUGUACAAUGAAGGUUUAGAAAGUGUUAGAGAUAUGAUUAUUAGUGUUACAUUAUCCUGUCAGGUUACGCUUUUGGGAUGAGUGGUUUCAGGACAUGGUAUUAGAGUUCCAGAUCCGGAAGGUCAAGCGUUCGAAUCUUGGUGAACCCAAAAUUAGCUUUUUAUAACAUGAGAUGUUUAUUAUCCCUGGUAUCCAGAUGGUUAACCGUGGUAUCAGAUGGUUAUUCUGGAUAGUAUAGGGGAUGUUCAUUUUAUUCAUAAACCAAAGAUUUAGCCCAUUGUACACAUUGUACGUUUAGGCCAUUGGCUCCCUAACACUACUCUUUAAUUAAACAUAUACUUUUUCUGCACUACUAAACAUAAUUCCUUUCCAUACAUAAUAAAUCAUCAAUCAUCAUUAUUCAAACAUACAAUAAUUUAUCAAUCCCUAAUGAACCAUCAUUCAUCACAAGCACAUACAGCACCAAAAUGAUGUUGUGCCUAUGAACUAUCCCUUACCUCUUUUGAAGUUCAAAAAUCUAUUUCUGCUUCUUCCUUGAAUUAAAAAUCCUAGCCACACAAAAUUGAAGUUUCUGUCACUCCUCCCUUCUCCCUCAGCUCCGUUUUAUUCUUUUCUUUCUUCUGUUUGUGCGUGUCUAUGAUGACCCAGAUGAAGCAAGCACUCAUAUAAGUAGAAGAAGAAGUGGAGGAACUCAUCCUGUCUCUCCUUCUUUCUGUCUUGGUUCUGCUCUCUCUCUCUCUCUCCCUCUCUUUGCUGCCUUCU
This 3126-nucleotide long non-coding RNA is filed under the name Arachis ipaensis. Its description in RNAcentral is "long non-coding RNA (AIPA_LNC001942)". The record is from RNAcentral. Lineage: Eukaryota; Viridiplantae; Streptophyta; Magnoliopsida; Fabales; Fabaceae.